RNAcentral lists this ribosomal RNA (395 nucleotides) under uncultured bacterium. RNAcentral describes it as "partial 16S ribosomal RNA". It matches the Rfam family "Bacterial small subunit ribosomal RNA", at positions 355 to 740 of the family's 1533-position model. The record is from RNAcentral.
UGGGGAAUUUUGGACAAUGGGCGCAAGCCUGAUCCAGCCAUGCCGCGUGCGGGAAGAAGGCCUUCGGGUUGUAAACCGCUUUUGUCAGGGAAGAAAUCUUCUGAGUUAAUACCUCGGGAGGAUGACGGUACCUGAAGAAUAAGCACCGGCUAACUACGUGCCAGCAGCCGCGGUAAUACGUAGGGUGCAAGCGUUAAUCGGAAUUACUGGGCGUAAAGCGUGCGCAGGCGGUUUUGUAAGACAGAGGUGAAAUCCCCGGGCUCAACCUGGGAACUGCCUUUGUGACUGCAAGGCUUGAGUGCGGCAGAGGGGGAUGGAAUUCCGCGUGUAGCAGUGAAAAUGCGUAGAUAUGCGGAGGAAACACCGAUGGCGAAGGCAAUCCCCUGGGCCUGCAC